This 93-nucleotide non-coding RNA is filed under the name Paenibacillus mucilaginosus. Its description in RNAcentral is "c-di-GMP sequence". It matches the Rfam family "c-di-GMP-I riboswitch aptamer". From Rfam's summary of the family: GEMM was predicted in a large-scale screen for bacterial structured RNA regulatory elements. Genes associated with GEMM are involved in a diverse array of functions, including chemotaxis regulation, signal transduction, secretion and chitin. RNAcentral also lists the same sequence under 1 other name. The record is from RNAcentral. Lineage: Bacteria; Bacillati; Bacillota; Bacilli; Caryophanales; Paenibacillaceae.
CUUGUUCAAUAGCAAACUUAUUGAAAAAUAAGGACGCAAAGCCUCGGGCCUAAGGAAUGAACCUUCUCAUUCUAUGGCAGCCGGGCUGCCUUA